AGUCUUAUAUUCAUAUUAGUGAUAUAAAAUUGCAAAUUUUAAGGGAUAAUUUAAAUUAUUAAGACUU
Molecule: transfer RNA, 67 nt
Filed under: Nola holsatica
Lineage: Eukaryota; Metazoa; Arthropoda; Insecta; Lepidoptera; Nolidae
Description: tRNA-Cys
Source: RNAcentral